RNAcentral lists this ribosomal RNA (459 nucleotides) under Blastocystis sp. subtype 1. Its description in RNAcentral is "SSU rRNA". It matches the Rfam family "Eukaryotic small subunit ribosomal RNA", at positions 470 to 942 of the family's 1831-position model. The record is from RNAcentral. Lineage: Eukaryota; Bigyra; Opalinata; Blastocystidae.
ACAAUAAAUCACAAUGCGGGACUAUUCGUCUUGCAAUUGGAUUGAGAACAAUGUACAACUCUUAUCGAUAAGCCAUUGGAGGGCAAGUCUGGUGCCAGCAGCCGCGGUAAUUCCAGCUCCAAUAGCGUAUAUUAACGUUGUUGCAGUUAAAAAGCUCGUAGUUGAAGUGUGGGUGGUGCCUACUUCAUGACUUCGGUUGUGAGGUGGAUCACCACCCCCUUCCAGUAUCCAGUAGUGGGUAUUCAGUUACUUACUACUGUGUGUUGGUCGUUUACUGUGAGAAAAUUAGAGUGUUCAAAGCAGGCGUUUGCUUGAAUAGAUUAGCAUGGAAUAAUAAUUGAAGGCUUUCGUGUUCGAUUUGAUUGGUUUGUUCAUGGAAGCAAGGUUAAAAGGAACAGUUGGGGGUAUUCAUAUUCACUAGUUAGAGGUGAAAUUCUCGGAUUUAUGGAAGAUGAACAA